RNAcentral lists this ribosomal RNA (432 nucleotides) under uncultured bacterium. RNAcentral's name for it is "bacterial SSU rRNA". It matches the Rfam family "Bacterial small subunit ribosomal RNA", at positions 338 to 762 of the family's 1533-position model. The record is from RNAcentral.
CCUACGGGAGGCUGCAGUGGGGAAUCUUGCGCAAUGCACGAAAGUGUGACGCAGCAACGCCGCGUGCGGGAAGAAGGUCUUCGGAUCGUAAACCGCUUUCAGUUGGGACGAGGGUUGCACGGUGAAUAGCCGGCGUAACUGACGGUACCUUCAGAAGAAGCCCCGGCUAACUACGUGCCAGCAGCCGCGGUAAUACGUAGGGGGCAAGCGUUAUCCGGAAUCAUUGGGCGUAAAGCGCGUGUAGGCGGUUCAGUAAGUCCGCUCUGAAAGCCCAGGGCUCAACCCUGGGAGGCGGGUGGAUACUACUGGACUAGAGUACGGAAGAGGAGAUUGGAAUUCCUGGUGUAGCGGUGAAAUGCGCAGAUAUCAGGAGGAACACCAACAGCGAAGGCAGAUCUCUGGGACGUAACUGACGCUGAGACGCGAAAGCGU